UACGAAGGGGGCUAGCGUUGCUCGGAAUCACUGGGCGUAAAGCGCACGUAGGCGGCUUUCUAAGUCAGGGGUGAAAUCCCGGAGCUCAACUCCGGAACUGCCUUUGAUACUGGAAAGCUUGAGUUCGGGAGAGGUGAGUGGAACUGCGAGUGUAGAGGUGAAAUUCGUAGAUAUUCGCAAGAACACCAGUGGCGAAGGCGGCUCACUGGCCCGGUACUGACGCUGAGGUGCGAAAGCGUCGGGGAGCAAACAGG
This 254-nucleotide ribosomal RNA is filed under the name uncultured bacterium. Its description in RNAcentral is "partial 16S ribosomal RNA". It matches the Rfam family "Bacterial small subunit ribosomal RNA", at positions 524 to 776 of the family's 1533-position model. The record is from RNAcentral.